CUUGUUUGAAAACAGUGAAGGAUAAAAUGUACUCACACAUCUUAGAUUGAGGGAACUGUAAUUCAGAGUUGUGAACACUUUGGAUUUUCAGGAACCAUAUUCUACAGGCCCUUCUGAAAGUGCAUGUUUUUAUACACAAGCAUAUACUGAUAUCAGUGGAAAUACAUAAACUCUCAUCAGUCUCAGCUAUUGUGAAGGUCAGUCAAGUGUCAAUCACUAGGUUUUUUAUCAGUUAUAUGUUUUGAAAAUAUUUCUCCUAGUCUAUGGCUUUUUCUUUCGUUUUCUUAAUUUCUUUUGCAGAGCAGAUACUUUUAAUUUUCAUGUCCAAUUUGCCAUUUGCUGCAUGUAGAUUGUGUUUUUCACCAACAAAUGUCAUAAAUAUAUAUUAUUUUUGGAAACACAUGAUCAGGAUGAAGUAUUCCCUUCCUGUUCCUAAAUUGCUGUUUUAAAAAUCACAUAUCGAUAUUGAAUGCUGCCAAAUGUUUUAUAUCUCUAUCAAACAUUAUUAUAUAAAUUUUCUUUGGUGUUUUAAUGUGAUGCAUCUCAUUGAUUAAUUUUUGAAUGUUGAAUGUGUCUUAUACAUCCAACAUAAGUCUCACUUGUUCUUGGAUGAGCUACCUUUUAAAUAUUGGUAAAUUUGCAUUGCUUUAUGUUACUGAAGAUUAUUGCAUCCUAUAUUCAUGAAGUAUAUUGGUCUUUAGCUUAGAUUUUCAUUUUGUUUAUUUUGUCUUUCACCGACACCAAUAGUAAUCCUAGCUUCAUCAAAUAUUGGGAAGUAUUCUCUCCUCCUCUGUUUUCUAAAGACUUUAUGUAGAAUUGAUAUCAUUUCUGUAGUAAACAACUUCCAAGUCUGACUUCCAAUGAUCCCUACAUCCUGUUAUUCAUGGACUUUAUUAUCCUGUCCCCUUGAUAUGGGCUAGACCUGGUGACUUUGCUCUAAUAAACAGAACAUGGCAAAGUUGAUAGGAUGUCACUUUUGAGAUUAGGUUAUAAUAGACUAUAGCUUAGUCUUGCUAGCUUUUUUUUUUUUUUUUUCAUGUCCUCUCUCUUGCUUGCUCUCAUGAAUCAAGAUGCCAUGUUGUUAGAUGAUUUAUAAAGCAGUCCAAAGGGCAAAGAAUCUGGGGAGUCCUCCAGGCAAGUGCUCAUGAGGAACUGAGGCCUCAAUCCAACAGUGUACAGAAACUAAAUCCUGCCAAUAACAACAUGUGUGAGCAAGAGUACAGAAACUUCCAGCCAAGCCAUAAUUGACUGUAGAAAUGUGAGAGACCCAGAACCAGAGGAGCUGGCAAAGCCACAACUUCUCAAAGAGGAGAGAGAGAGGGAGACACAGAAUCCCAAGCAGGCUCCAGACUCCAUGCUCCAAGCUAUCAGCACAGAGCCCAACGUGAGAAUUGCCACAUCAUGACCUGAGCAGAAGUCAGGGGCUUAACCCACUGAGCCACCCAGGUGCCCCAAGGUGGAUGUCAUCCAAUCUGUUGGCAGUCUGAACAGAACAAAGAUGGCAGAUGAAGGGUGAAUUGCUUUCUGCUUGAGCCAGGACAUCCAUUUUCUGCCCUCAGAUAUUGACACUCCUGGCUCUUGGACCUUUAAAGGACCUGGAGUGAAUUAUACCACCAGCUUUCCUAGUUCUUCAGCUUGAAGACAACAGAUCAUGGGACUUCUGAGUCUCCAUACUUACGGGCCUCACAAAAACCCUGGCAUGCUAACUUGCUAGCUUGAGCAUAUGGUAUGAUAAAUAUCAGAUGGGACUUUUUACCAGUGAAAUCAUAGCUUGUAAUCAGCACUGCAUCUUGCUACUGGUGUGAGGGGAUCCUUUGCCUUAUGCCAACUAGAAGGCUAUCGAAAUCAACCCACAGGAUGUUGCCACAUUUACCCUGAUAGAACUUUUCAUACAAGAGCUCUUAAAAUCAAGAACUGAAGUCUGGAGAGAAUCAAGGGAAGUACAAAUGUGUAAAAAUAUUGAGUGCCAGAUUUAUCACUAAUAAUUUAUUCUCUUAACACCUUGCAAAGUACACUUCCACUGUUAUUUGCAUUUUGAAGGUUAAAAAACAAAUCUAUAAACCUAUUGACUUUUAUAAACUUCUACGUAAGAUAUCUCAACCAAAAUAAAGUUCCAUGAGAAUUUGUUUGAGUUUUAAGAACUCAUUCUUCCAUGCCCUCAUUCCUCAUACUCCCCAUCCAAUACUCGUCAAAAGACAACUAAGAAAUAUGGUUAAAAUGACACCAAGAAAAAACAAUUACUUCUUAGGAAUUAUUAGGGUAAAAGUUUAGUGAGUUAAGUUACUCUUAAAUUCAUUUACUUAUAUUAUUUUCAGGUAAUAUAUGUCCACAUAUUUUUUAAAAUAAAAUAAAAUAAAAACCUAAAAUGAUGGCCAUUGCCAUACCAAUCCCACUGUAAUUUUUGCUUCUUCAAGUCAACUCAUUUUAAGUAGUAUCAUCUGCUUUUUGUUUACUUUCCUUUUGGUAUUUAACUUCAUGUUUUUAAAUAACAUAGCAUGUUGCUUUGUAGUUUUUUUAUAGCUUUGGACUUUUAUAUAUGGACUUAUUUCUAAUGGAUGAUUACAGUUUAGCUUACAUUAUACCCCUGAAAUAAAUAUACCUCUACCAAACCAAUAUAGCUCAGACCUCAUUCAUCAACUCAUUCCAGUUGAUAUAAAGGCAUGGAAAAGUAAAUCUUAGAAUAUUAGCAAAAGAAGAUUUUGUAAAAUAGUAACCAGUAAAUAGGUAGUGGUUAUAGAUAGAGAUGGAUUUAAAUGGAAUCUACACUAAUUACAUAAACCACAGAAAUCCUAUAGUCCUGUCCAAGAUUUCUGCAAAUUUCUCAGUGCCACUUAAUACUAUAAUUCUGCAGCCUUUUGUCUAUAUUUACCUUCUACCAAAUUGAUUGCACUGAGAAACUAGGCCAUAGUUUCAUUUUCAAAAUUAAAAAGAAAAAAAAAACUGUCACUGAAUAUUGAUAAGUGAAAAGCCCCUUUCUGCCUAAUUUUUGAGAGGCUUGUAUUUUCAUGAUUAGAGCAUUCUCCUUAUGGUCAGUCUCUCUCCCCCUAUUAUAGUACACAUAAAACAUCCUUCUCAACUUAUGAAGGAGUAUCUCCUAAAAAGCCAUCAUCAACUGAAAAUAUUGUAAUUCCAAAAAGCAUUUUUUUCCACGUAUCCUACCAAACAUCACAGCUUAGCGUAGCCUAGCUUGAACAUGCUCAGAAACCUUAUAUUAGCCUAUACUUGGGAAAAAUAAUUUAACACAGAAACUACUUUUAAUGAACCCUUGAGUAUCUCAUGUAAUUUAAAGAAUGCUGUGCUGAAAGUGAAAAACAGAUGGCUAUAUGGGUAUAGAAUGGUUGUAAGUGUAUUGGUUGUUUACCCUCGUGUUUGUAUGGCUAAGUGUGAGCUGUGGCUCACUGCCACUGCCCAGAAUCAGGAAAGACUAUCUUGCUGCUUAUCCCUAGCCCAAGGAAAUAUCGACAUUUAAAAUCUGAAUACAGUUUCCAAUUGACUGUAUAUCACCUUCUGCUACUGUAAAGUAGAAGAAUUGUGUUAGACCAUCAUAAUUCAGGGACCAUCUGUAGAUCCUUCCCUUGCAAUAAUGCAUUUGAAUAAAGUCUCUACUUAUCUAAGUCCCAGUUUGUUUUUUUAUCUGAUUUUGAGUUUGAGAAACAUUAUGGAUGUUUUAUGGUGUUACAGAGACCAUAUCCUCCAACCUAUGAUUUUGAAUCAUGUCAAUAUUUUUUUCUUUCUUCUUCCUAGCCACAUAUCAAUUUGCUCCUUAGAAUUUGCUAAGAAGUUUUAGCAUAUGAGCCAAAUGAUUUCCAAGUAUCUAGGGAAUUUUAUUUUUCCAAGUAAGUGCAUAUUUAUAUUUCAUGAAAAUAUGAAAAUAUUCCAUACAAGUAUUUCAUUUGUCAAUUGAGAAGAUACUCAUUCUACAACUAGACAUGGGAUUCUGGGUAAAUCUUAUAUAUCUGAACAUUCCUAGCUGGAUAAAUCUCAGUUCUUAACAUUUUUUACCUCAGUUGUUAUCAAAAACACAAGUUUAGAAAAAUUUUUUGGGGGCUCCUUGGUGGUUCAGUUAGUUAAAUGUUCAACUUUUGGUUUCAGCUCAGAUCACGAUCUCAUGGUUUUGUGAGAUUGAGCCCCACAUUGGGCUCCGCACUGUUAGUGCUUGGGAUUCUCUGUCUCCCUGUCUCUCUGCCGCUCCCUGACUUGUGCUAUCUCUGCCACUUUCAAAAUAAAUUUUUUAAAAAAAGAAAAACAAAUGUGAGAGAGAGAACAAAUGGGGGUGGGGCAGAAGGAGAGGGAUGAGAGAUUAUUAAGUGGGCUCGAUGCCCAGCCUGGAGCAGUAUGUGGGGCUCAAUCUCAUGACUGUGAGAUCAUGGCUUGAGCCUAAAUCAAGAGUCAGACGCUAAACAAACUGAGCCAUCCAGGCACCCCAGUUUAGAAAAUUUAAUAGAAAUUUCAGAAUAAUACAGAUGAGGAAAAUUUGAUUUAAUUCUCCUUGGUAGUUUUUUACAUAAAAAUGUUACAUUAAAUGUUAUCUUCAGGGGAUGAUGACAGAGUAGGAGGAUCCUUGGCUCACUGUGUCCCACAGAUACAACUAGGUAACACCCACAUCAAUGUAAAUAACUGAGAAAACAACCUGAAGACUGGUAAAAACAGACUCUCCACAGCUAAAUGUACAGAAUAGGCCACAUCAAAGAAGGCAGGAAGGGCAGAGACACAGUCAGGAACCAAAAUGACCCACAGAACUUUUCAAGGGAGGGAGGGAUGCUGCUGUUGUGGAGGGAGAGGAGAUAACCUCAUAGCAAGCAUCCAAAGCAUGAAGGGACCUGUAUUGAGAAGAUGAAUCCUCUUUUUUUAUUUUUUUUAAUGUUUAUUUAUUUUUGAGAGAGAGAGAGAGAGAGCAUGAACGGGGGAGGGUCAGAGAGAGGGAGACACAGGAUCUGAAACAGGCUCCAGGCUCUGAGCUGUCAGCACAGAGCCUGACGCGGGGCUCGAACUCACGGACCGUGAGAUCAUGACCUGAGCCGAAGUUGGACGCUUAACCGACUGAGCCACUCAGGCGCGCUGAGAAGAUGAAUCCUCUUAACACUAGGCUUUGAAAACCAGAGAGGCUUAACUUCACAAUUUCUUAUAAUCAAUGGGGCUUAACACUUGGAACCCUAAAAAUCGUCAGGCUUGGCUCUGAGAGUGCCAGAGGACAAUAAGAAACUGAGAUCCCACCCUUAAAGAGACAGCAUAACAAACAGCCCUGUUGAGAUACAGAAUAGAUGAAGCAGUUUGAAAAACACUUGGGGUAUAAGGAGAUGAGAUAUGUUUACUAAACUCAGAGCAUGUUCUGGAAGGGCAGGGAUCUUUGGGAGACUUCUCCAAGAGCAGAAGAGCUGGUAGGUACCACUUCCCUCUUCUGCACCACCCCCGCUUCCCUUCCUAGACACAGGAAUACCUUCAGGAACCAGCACAGACCUUUCCACCUAGCUUGCUAAAGGCAUGCCCAUCCACAUAUUCUCCUAUAGACCUGCCCCAUUAAACACAUCCUCAGAAGUUUUCUGAAGUGUAUGCAAGCCUCCUUCCAGACAAGACCAGUGUAACCCCUUGCUAACACUGCAUGCCCCACCCCUGAAUUCUCCUGUGGAACCACCCCCUCCAACACACUUGCAGCAGCAGUCCAUCCAGAGCAGUUACACAAGAGUUGCAGUUUGCAAGCAGCCCUGACAGAGGUCAGCAGGAUCUCAAAGUGACUCCUGCCCAGGGGAGAGGGGAAGAAAACCACAUGUACCAGUUUGUGGUCCUAGCAAUGGACUGGGGCAGACACCUAUUCUGAUUACUGGCCCCACCCACCAAUGAAAGCUUCUUUGAGUAUAAUACAAGGAGAGUGCCCUGAAGUUCCAUAAGACCACAGCUUGCAAAUGCCUGGUGUGAUCCAACUCAAGAUCAAGGUGGACCCAGACUAGUCCAUGAACAACCCAAGGACCAAACCUGCCCACAACAGGCAAAGAGGGCCAUUGCAGAUGACAGGAAUGAAGGAAACCAGACUGAAGGAAGCUCAGCCACAAUAGUAGGGCACCACCCAACACACAUAGAUGUCUCUGAAGUGCCAGGUUCUAGUGAACAGGGGCUGUUACACUGCAGUGCACCACAGUACCUCUUAUAAGGCCAUUAGUUUCAAGAGCAGGAGACACAGCUAACUUUCCCAACAUGUAGACAGGCACAGGGAGACAUAAUGAGGAGACAGAGAAAUAUGUCCCAAUGAAAGAACAAGACAAAAUCACAGCAUGAAAGCUAAUGAAACAUAGUUACUCAUUAGACUUGAGAAAAGAAUGGAGGGUCUCAGACCCUAAAAUGAUAAAGAGAAACAUAAAAAAAAAUAACAAAUCCUAGACGAGGAACUCAGUAACUGAAAUUUAAAAUACAGUAGAGGAAAUAAAUAAUAGACUAGAGGAAGCAGAAGAAUGGAUUAGCAACCUGGAAUACAGCAUAAUGGAAAGCAAUCAAGCUGAACAAGACAAAGAAAAAAGACUAAUAAAAUGAAUAGAUUUAGGGAACUCAGUGAUAGCAUCAAGCCUAAUAACAUUCACAUUACAGGAACCAUGAAAGAAGAAAGGGGGAAAGAAAACUUACCUGAAAAGGAAUACUUGAAAACUUCCCAAAUCUGCAGAAGGAAACAGACAUCCAGGUCCAGGAGGCCCAGAGAGCCCCCAACAAAUCAACCCAAGGAGGUCCAUACCAAGACACAAUAAGUAUAAUGGUAAGAAAUAGUGAUAAAAAAGGAAUUUUAAAAGCAGCAAGAGAGGGCUGCCUGGGUGGCUUAGUUGGUUAAGCAUCCAGAUCUGAAUUUCAGGCCAUGGUCUCAUGGUCAUCAGAUCAAGCCCUGCAUUGGGCUCCGUGCUGAACAUGGAGCCUGCUUGGGAUUUUCUCUCUCCCUGCCCCACCUCACUCUC
Molecule: long non-coding RNA, 6932 nt
Organism: Acinonyx jubatus (cheetah)
Lineage: Eukaryota; Metazoa; Chordata; Mammalia; Carnivora; Felidae
Exons: 6
Source: RefSeq, a predicted model, not a curated record